Molecule: ribosomal RNA, 514 nt
Filed under: uncultured Acidobacteriota bacterium
Lineage: Bacteria; Pseudomonadati; Acidobacteriota
Description: bacterial SSU rRNA
Rfam family: Bacterial small subunit ribosomal RNA
Source: RNAcentral
UGGGGAAUUGUUCGCAAUGGGCGCAAGCCUGACGACGCAACGCCGCGUGGAGGAUGAAGGUCUUCGGAUUGUAAACUCCUGUUGCCCGGGACGAAUGGCUUCAACCUAAUACGUUGAAGUGUGACGGUACCGGGUGAGGAAGCCCCGGCUAACUCUGUGCCAGCAGCCGCGGUAAUACAGAGGGGGCAAGCGUUGUUCGGAAUUACUGGGCGUAAAGGGCGCGUAGGCGGCCUGCUAAGUCGAACGUGAAAUCCCUGGGCUCAACCCAGGAACUGCGUCCGAUACUGGUUGGCUUGAAUCCGGGAGAGGGAUGUGGAAUUCCAGGUGUAGCGGUGAAAUGCGUAGAUAUCUGGAGGAACACCGGUGGCGAAGGCGACAUCCUGGACCGGUAUUGACGCUGAGGCGCGAAAGCCAGGGGAGCAAACGGGAUUAGAUACCCCGGUAGUCCUGGCCCUAAACGAUGAAUGCUUGGUGUGGUGGGUAUCGAUCCCUACCGUGCCGAAGCUAACGCAUU